RNAcentral lists this long non-coding RNA (2247 nucleotides) under Mus musculus (house mouse). Its description in RNAcentral is "long non-coding RNA chr12:4106957-4109204". The record is from RNAcentral. Lineage: Eukaryota; Metazoa; Chordata; Mammalia; Rodentia; Muridae.
CUCAAGUGCAAACAGACUCCCCUUGAGGUGAAAUAACCAACAUGGAGUUUUCCUUCACGAAUGCUCACUGUUGUGUUCCCUCAUGUGUAAGUUAAUAGUAUGGGUGCCUGUUACCAUGUUGUGGCCAUUUCUCAGUGAGAUGACCGCUUUUGUGUGAGAGAUAACCCCACAUCUCUUAUGCACUUCAUUUCUUAUUGCCAGAUAACUAGGUGUUUGUCAUUGUGUCAUCGCUUAUGCAUUCACCUGUGAAAGUCCAUGACUGUGACCCACCUGCUCUUCCUCCCAGCAACCCUCCAUCCAUCCAUCUGCCCACCAUCAGAGAAAGGAAUAACAACAGGAGAGAGAAAGAGCCUGGCCCCCGGGAGCCUGCACCCCACUAAGCGGCUUCCUGGUUAGUAUUUUAACCAUCAGCCUGUACAGUUAGUAGCCAGAGAUGGUGGAGGAUGAGGCAGGAGUAUUGCAAGAGAGAGGCCAGUCUGGAUUGAAUUACUUGGCAAGACUUUCAAAGAAAAACAGGCAACCUUGUAGAAGAGUGAUGUGAGCUAGCACUGUUAUCUGCCCUUUUAGGACACUGACUCUGUUCUUUCUCCAGCCACCAGGGGGAGACAAGCCAGUGCUAAGAGAGAGGCAGUGCCAGCCACAGGAGCUGGAGAACCUGAAGCUCAUCCCGGAUCCCAGGCCUUUGCUCUGCCCUAGAAAUAGUUGCUAGCAUCAAGCAGCAAGGAUGCUGUGUCCCUGGGAAUGAGGGGCCCGACACCAGAACAGAAGCUCUUAGAGGGCGCAUUGUGGGUCACUUGGGAGUGUGCGCUCAGUCACACCAUUCAGACGGAAAGGCCAGCUUGGGCCUUUCCUGAGCUCAGGCAUGUUGGGCACUAGGAGGGACCCUGCAUGAGACUCGUCCCUGUCCUCAGUCCUCACCACAGGUGGUGGGAGAGGCAGGCGGGCCCUCUUCCACAGACCCGUCUCUUUCUUCUGCUCUCCUCUCGCCCCACUCUUUGUUACAUCCCACAUCUGCCAUGGCCUUUCCUCUUGCCCUGGGCUCAGCUGACUUGAAAUAAGUAGGAUCCAUUUGGGGCACACUGGGACGUCUUGGGCCUGUGUGGGGCAGAAUCCCUACAGUUUCUGCUUGGACUCCAAAUUUCUGAAUAGUAUUUUAAAAUUACAAGUAUGAAAACUCAUGUUGCAUAGAGAGAAGCCUUUCUCGUGCUGUUGCCCCUGCCUGGUCCACAGGACUGGAUGGAGCUGAUGGAGCUGGGCUCAUGUUGCUCGACUCCUGUCAUCCCUCUGAACUCUGGUAUUCUUAUUUUGAGCUGCAGCCACCUGUGCUACCUGGAACUCAAAGGAUGACUUUUAAAUACCUAUCCCAUAACGGUUGCCAGAUAACAUGUCUCUUGCCUAAGAAGACAAGCUCUUGGCUUCCUGUCUAAACCCUUGUAGUCCUCUGGGUUUUUCCUUUCUCCAUAGUGGCCUCACUUUGCAUGGCUGUGCUCUGCGCAGCUGCUCUGAGCUUUAAAAUGUUGUUCUUAGUGAACUCAGAUGUGUAUAAAAGGAUAAAGAGGUCUGGCAUACGGCUGUAUUAGCAUACGGCUGCGUGGCUUGAAUUAGCUUCUGAGGUGAUUGAGCUCCACCUCAUGGUUCUCAUGGGCCUCAGUUCUGCUUGAGGCUCCCUCACGCCUAGCACAUCUGAUUAUCCAGCUGCUCCUGGAACAGAAAGUGGGAGUCAUGAGGAUGAGAGGUGUGUGUGGUGCUGUCAGCCUGAGUGCGGGGCCCAGGCUGCGCCUCGUUCAACCACAUGGGCAGGAGAGCAGUUACAGCAGGGGGCUUUAGUGUUCCCAUUUGGGUCCCUCAGGUCACUUGCUGAUUCUCAGAUCUUGAGACGCUGUUCCUGACAUCUUACUUAUAUCUAGGGUGGCUGCGUAGCAUCUUAUUUAUUUAUUUAUUUAUGUAAGAGUAAUAAAAUGAAGAGGUGAAGCCUCAGGGUCCCAGAAUGUGUCUGGUUUCUUUAGUCUCUCAGCAGAGCAUUAGGAAACAACAGAGCAUAGCUCAGAACGAAAAGUAUUCUGAACCCUGGCUUCGUGAUCCGGUACAGACCUCUGCAUUCAUUGAAAUUCUUAGUGCAGCUGUGUGCUUUGUCCUUCGACAUUUUGAAAACUGCUUGCACAUUUAAGAUCUUAGGACGUCAGCAGGAGUCUCAACUCAGUCAUUUCAGAGGCUGAAACGUUUUUAUAAAGAACCUUGCCCCCCCCC